RNAcentral lists this ribosomal RNA (377 nucleotides) under uncultured beta proteobacterium. RNAcentral describes it as "bacterial SSU rRNA". It matches the Rfam family "Bacterial small subunit ribosomal RNA", at positions 521 to 896 of the family's 1533-position model. Lineage: Bacteria; Pseudomonadati; Pseudomonadota; Betaproteobacteria. The record is from RNAcentral.
UAAUACGUAGGGUGCGAGCGUUAAUCGGAAUUACUGGGCGUAAAGCGUGCGCAGGCGGUUUCGUAAGACAGAGGUGAAAUCCCCGGGCUCAACCUGGGAACUGCCUUUGUGACUGCGAGGCUAGAGUACGGCAGAGGGGGGUGGAAUUCCACGUGUAGCAGUGAAAUGCGUAGAGAUGUGGAGGAACACCGAUGGCGAAGGCAGCCCCCUGGGCCGAUACUGACGCUCAUGCACGAAAGCGUGGGUAGCAAACAGGAUUAGAUACCCUGGUAGUCCACGCCCUAAACGAUGUCAACUAGGUGUUGGGUGGGUAAAACCAUUUAGUACCGUAGCUAACGCGUGAAGUUGACCGCCUGGGGAGUACGGCCGCAAGGUUA